GACGAACGCUGGCGGCGUGCCUAAUACAUGCAAGUUGAGCGCUGAAGGUUGGUACUUGUACCGACUGGAUGAGCAGCGAACGGGUGAGUAACGCGUGGGGAAUCUGCCUUUGAGCGGGGGACAACAUUUGGAAACGAAUGCUAAUACCGCAUAAAAACUUUAAACACAAGUUUUAAGUUUGAAAGAUGCAAUUGCAUCACUCAAAGAUGAUCCCGCGUUGUAUUAGCUAGUUGGUGAAGUAAAGGCUCACCAAGGCGAUGAUACAUAGCCGACCUGAGAGGGUGAUCGGCCACAUUGGGACUGAGACACGGCCCAAACUCCUACGGGAGGCAGCAGUAGGGAAUCUUCGGCAAUGGACGAAAGUCUGACCGAGCAACGCCGCGUGAGUGAAGAAGGGUUUCGGAUCGUAAAACUCUGUUGGUAGAGAAGAACGUUGGUGAGAGUGGAAAGCUCAUCAAGUGACGGUAACUACCCAGAAAGGGACGGCUAACUACGUG
Molecule: ribosomal RNA, 497 nt
Filed under: uncultured bacterium
Lineage: Bacteria
Description: partial 16S ribosomal RNA
Rfam family: Bacterial small subunit ribosomal RNA
Source: RNAcentral